RNAcentral lists this ribosomal RNA (253 nucleotides) under uncultured bacterium. RNAcentral's name for it is "partial 16S ribosomal RNA". It matches the Rfam family "Bacterial small subunit ribosomal RNA", at positions 524 to 776 of the family's 1533-position model. The record is from RNAcentral.
UACGUAGGGUGCGAGCGUUGUCCGGAAUUACUGGGCGUAAAGGGCGCGUAGGUGGCCUUCUAAGUUGAACGUGAAAUCCCUGGGCUCAACCCAGGAACUGCGUCCAAGACUGGGAGGCUUGAAUCCGGGAGAGGGAUGCGGAAUUCCAGGUGUAGCGGUGAAAUGCGUAGAUAUCUGGAGGAACACCGGUGGCGAAGGCGGCAUCCUGGACCGGUAUUGACACUGAGGCGCGAAAGCCAGGGGAGCAAACGGG